AUGGAGAUUCUGCACAGAAGAUGGGGCCUUAUGGAGAAGGCACAUAGCAGGAAAGUAUGGCUUACUUAGCUACUGAAUAGCUGAAGAAGUCAUGAGCACAUUUGGUCGUAGUGUCUGGAUCAGGAGACUUUGGCCUAACUUUAUCAACAACAUCUCCAUUGGUGUUGGUAAUGGUCUGAAAAAUGCUUUCUGAAAUGAAGUUUUGGUAGGGGAGAGCAGCUUGAG
RNAcentral lists this unclassified non-coding RNA (225 nucleotides) under Hevea brasiliensis (rubber tree). The record is from RNAcentral. Lineage: Eukaryota; Viridiplantae; Streptophyta; Magnoliopsida; Malpighiales; Euphorbiaceae.